Molecule: ribosomal RNA, 353 nt
Filed under: uncultured bacterium
Lineage: Bacteria
Description: bacterial SSU rRNA
Rfam family: Bacterial small subunit ribosomal RNA
Source: RNAcentral
GGGCCCGCACAAGCAGUGGAGCAUGUGGUUUAAUUCGAUGCAACGCGAAGAACCUUACCAGGCCUUGACAUCCUCGGAACUUUCUAGAGAUAGAUUGGUGCCUUCGGGAACCGAGUGACAGGUGCUGCAUGGCUGUCGUCAGCUCGUGUCGUGAGAUGUUGGGUUAAGUCCCGUAACGAGCGCAACCCCUAUCGUUAGUUGCCAGCAUUUAGUUGGGCACUCUAGCGAGACUGCCGGUGAUAAGCCGGAGGAAGGCGGGGAUGACGUCAAGUCCUCAUGGCCCUUAUGGGCUGGGCUACACACGUGCUACAAUGGCAGUGACAGAGGGACGCUACCAGGUGACUGGAUGCAAA